AGAGUUUGAUCCUGGCUCAGAUUGAACGCUGGCGGCAUGCCUUACACAUGCAAGUCGAACGGCAGCACGGACUUCGGUCUGGUGGCGAGUGGCGAACGGGUGAGUAAUGUAUCGGAACGUACCUUUCAGUGGGGGAUAACGUAGCGAAAGUUACGCUAAUACCGCAUAUUCUGUGAGCAGGAAAGCAGGGGAUCGCAAGACCUUGCGCUGAUUGAGCGGCCGAUAUCAGAUUAGCUAGUUGGUGGGGUAAAGGCCUACCAAGGCUACGAUCUGUAGCGGGUCUUAGAGGAUGAUCCGCCACACUGGAACUGAGACACGGUCCAGACUCCUACGGGAGGCAGCAGUGGGGAAUUUUGGACAAUGGGGGCAACCCUGAUCCAGCCAUGCCGCGUGAGUGAAGAAGGCCUUCGGGUUGUAAA
RNAcentral lists this ribosomal RNA (419 nucleotides) under uncultured bacterium. Its description in RNAcentral is "bacterial SSU rRNA". It matches the Rfam family "Bacterial small subunit ribosomal RNA", at positions 8 to 429 of the family's 1533-position model. The record is from RNAcentral.